GACGUAGGUGGCGAACGUUAUCCGGAAUUAUUGGGCGUAAAGGGUGCGUAGGCGGCAUGAUAAGUUAUUGGCGGUAAAUCGAGGCUCAACCUCGUGGAAACUGAUAAUACUGUUUUGCUUGAGUGCAGAAGAGGUUAACGGAACUCCAUGUGGAGCGGUAAAAUGUGUAGAUAUAUGGAAGAACAUCAAUAACGGCGAAGGCAGUUAACUAUUCUGUUACUGACGUUGAGGCACGAAAGCGUGGGGAGCAAAAAGG
This 256-nucleotide ribosomal RNA is filed under the name uncultured bacterium. RNAcentral's name for it is "partial 16S ribosomal RNA". It matches the Rfam family "Bacterial small subunit ribosomal RNA", at positions 524 to 776 of the family's 1533-position model. The record is from RNAcentral.